Molecule: ribosomal RNA, 254 nt
Filed under: uncultured bacterium
Lineage: Bacteria
Description: partial 16S ribosomal RNA
Rfam family: Bacterial small subunit ribosomal RNA
Source: RNAcentral
UACGUAGGGUGCGAGGCGUUAAUCGGAAUUACUGGGCGUAAAGCGUGCGCAGGCGGUGAUGUAAGACAGAUGUGAAAUCCCGGGCUCAACCUGGGAACUGCAUUUGUGACUGCAUCGCUGGAGUGCGGCAGAGGGGGAUGGAAUUCCGCGUGUAGCAGUGAAAUGCGUAGAUAUGCGGAGGAACACCGAUGGCGAAGGCAAUCCCCUGGGCCUGCACUGACGCUCAUGCACGAAAGGCGUGGGGAGCAAACAGG